Molecule: long non-coding RNA, 385 nt
Organism: Spodoptera frugiperda (fall armyworm)
Lineage: Eukaryota; Metazoa; Arthropoda; Insecta; Lepidoptera; Noctuidae
Exons: 2
Source: RefSeq, a predicted model, not a curated record
GGUUGUGCCUAUGCAGCAGUUCAGUAUUUCAUUGCAAAAUUAGUAUGCGGAUUAUUUGUUACUAGCAAAACAGUCGAGCAUUAUGUUUUUUACUAAUAGCUUUUAAAAAAACUAUUUGCAGGUUGCCGCCAUUGAACUGCCAUAAUUUCGACGAAAUCGACGCCUCCAAUCUGCCCCUCUUUGUAUCACGUUGCAAGAAGAAGCGAUUACGGAUUCACAAGCACGAUUCAAGAUGAAAUCCGCCUUCUGCACAACUGUAUACCAGACUUACUUUAUUUAGAUUAUUUAAAUAAAACGAUCCAGUCGACAUAACAUAUUAUGUUAUUAGGUAACAAGUCUGAAGAAUUAACCGUUAAAAUAUGUAUAAUAAAAAUGUUAAUAAAUA